AUUGGCAAGGCCAUAGUCAAAUUUAAAAAUAAAUGUGUUUAUAAUCUGGACAGUCUUCACAAUCAUAGCAACUAUCUGGUUAGACUCUACUGAAGUUACAAUAAAUAAAUAAAUAAACCCAUUGUGUUCCCUCCACAGCUGGUUCCAGAACUUUUUCUAAUAAGCAGUAACAUGGGUGAACAAACAGAUAUACUGAGCUGACAAGAUGACAUGAGCUGAAGUUAUUAAAGAAAAGGGGAAGAGAUCUGCGAGCACACACUCACUUGCGCGCUCUCUCUCUCCUACUCCUUCACUGAAUUGUGUAGUUAUCUCAUAAUGGAGGACAACUGAUCGAUUUUUCACCUGAUAUGAAAUACCUAAAUACUGUACAACAUGCCCUAAGAAACUCAAGUGUUCAAUUUGCUUAGACUUCAUCAGUGGAAGUUUGAGUCGCAAGACUGAGGUCCCCGUUAUGCUGGUUUGCUCUGAAUAUGAGAUUUGGACAUUGGACAAUGACCUAUGAACUGAAUCCUAAAGGAACUCAUUGCAACUACAAAGCUCACCAUCUCUGCUAGGAAUCUGCAUCUCAAUGAAUCGAACUCAUAUCUGUAUGUGUA
Non-coding RNA from Caretta caretta (loggerhead turtle), 596 nucleotides. NCBI's taxonomy places the organism in Eukaryota, Metazoa, Chordata, Testudines, Cheloniidae. The record is from RefSeq and is a predicted model, not a curated record.